RNAcentral lists this unclassified non-coding RNA (593 nucleotides) under Hevea brasiliensis (rubber tree). Lineage: Eukaryota; Viridiplantae; Streptophyta; Magnoliopsida; Malpighiales; Euphorbiaceae. The record is from RNAcentral.
CCGUUUGAGUUGAAAUUUUCCUUCUCUGUAUAUCACAUAAUAGAUUUUUCUCGCCUCUGCGGAAACAGUCGUUGGAAAAUUCCCAUCGAUCAGGUACCACCUUUCUAAAUCCAUAAGUAUUUAAUUGGCGAACAAAGCUCGAAAAGUUGUUGUGCUUGAAGUACUUGGGAAGCAAAUCUCUAGCAAAAACCGUAGGGUUCCAAACGAUGAAGGUAGAUCCGUCAUCGUUCCAGGAAAUCACAUCGUCUAUUGUUUGAUCAUCCACGAGUUGGUAAGUCUUCGUCAAAAAAGGAGUCGGCAAAGAUUUCUGUGAUUCCCCGGCAGUCGCCUCUCCGUUCUGCUCCCUCGGCGUAGGCGCCAUCGCCGACGCUUAAAGAAAAAGUUUGAAUAAUCAAUAAAUGAAGUUGUGAAGGAUUAUUAGAUAGGAAUUUGGAGAGAAAGCAGGGUUGAAGGUUACAGGGAGGAUUUGAUAUGGUAAUUCUAGAAGGUUCCUAGGAAUUUAAGGAAGCGAAGGGGAGAGGAGAGAGAGUAUAAACGGUAACGAAGAAAACAAAGGAAGAACGGUGACAAAGAGAGGAAUUGAUGAAACGACG